Long non-coding RNA from Gekko japonicus, 296 nucleotides. RefSeq lists it as uncharacterized. Lineage: Eukaryota; Metazoa; Chordata; Lepidosauria; Squamata; Gekkonidae. The record is from RefSeq and is a predicted model, not a curated record. The transcript is spliced from 3 exons.
CCUGUCUUGUUUUCGGUUCCCCUCAGAGCCCGGCCUGUGGUGGUCAUCGAGGCCCAAGUGCUGGUGCCAGAAGCGCUGAACCCCGAGGAGAAAAGCUGCACGGUGUCGAAAGUGGAAGUCAGCUGCUUCACCAUCCAGAUGUGUGUCGGAGUGUCGGGGAAAAGCAUACCCCUCAAAAUGAGCCUGGAAGCAGAGCUGCAGUUGGACCGCAUGAAGCAGAAAUUUUGGCGAAGGGUUUUCCUGCAGCAAAACAGCCAGUCGAGCCAGGUGUUCCCCCUGGAACUCUCCAGAAAAGU